RNAcentral lists this non-coding RNA (772 nucleotides) under Polyura nepenthes. The record is from RNAcentral. Lineage: Eukaryota; Metazoa; Arthropoda; Insecta; Lepidoptera; Nymphalidae.
AUAAAAAUUUAUGUUUUUUAAAAUUUAUUAUGAAUUUAUUUUACAUACAAAUUUUAGUGUUAAUUUUUAAUUAUUUAAAUAAUAUUUAAAUAUUAGUGGUAGUAAUUGAUUUUAAAGAUUUAAGAAAUUAAGAUUUAGUAAUAUAAAAAUUAAUAACUAAUUUUGUGCCAGCAGUUGCGGUUAUACAAAAAUUAAGUUAAAUUAUUUCAGUAUAUAAUAAAUAAAAUAUAAAUUAAAAUAAAUAUUAAAUUAUUAGGUAAAAUUUUAAUUUAAUUAAAUUUUAUAAAAAUUUUAUGAAUUAGUAAAUUUUAUUAUAAACUAGGAUUAGAUACCCUAUUAUUAAAAAUUUAAAUUAUAAUACUAAAAUAGUAAAUAUAAGAUAUUGAAACUUAAAUAAUAUGGCGGUAUUUUAGUUCAUUUAGAGGAAUCUGUCUAAUAAUUGAUAAUCCACGAAUAAAUUUACUUAAUUUAUUAUUUUAUAUAUCGUUGUUAAAAAAAUAUUUUUUAUUAAAAAUAAUAUUUCAAAAUUAAAAUAAAAAAUUAAUUCAGAUCAAGAUGUAGAGUAUAAUUAAGAAUAUGAUGGAUUACAAUAAAUAUAUUUAAAUGAAUAAUUAUUUGAAAUAUAAAUUUGAAGGUGGAUUUAAAUGUAAUUUUAUUUAGUUUAAUAAAAUGAUUAAAAAUUAAAAUAUGUACAUAUUGCCCGUCACUUUCAUUUAAAAAUUGGAAUAAGUCGUAACAAAGUAGAGGUACUGGAAAGUGUUUCUAGAAUGAU